GCUGGUGUGGCGGAAUGGCAGACGCAGCGGACUUAAAAUCCGCAGAGGCGAAAGUCUCGUGGGGGUUCGAGUCCCCCCACCAGCA
Molecule: transfer RNA, 85 nt
Filed under: Planctomycetia bacterium
Lineage: Bacteria; Pseudomonadati; Planctomycetota; Planctomycetia
Description: tRNA-Leu
Rfam family: tRNA
About the family: Transfer RNA (tRNA) molecules are approximately 80 nucleotides in length. Their secondary structure includes four short double-helical elements and three loops (D, anti-codon, and T loops).
Source: RNAcentral